RNAcentral lists this ribosomal RNA (1018 nucleotides) under uncultured bacterium. RNAcentral describes it as "bacterial SSU rRNA". It matches the Rfam family "Bacterial small subunit ribosomal RNA", at positions 357 to 1376 of the family's 1533-position model. The record is from RNAcentral.
AGGAAUAUUGGUCAAUGGGCGAGAGCCUGAACCAGCCAAGUAGCGUGCAGGAUGACGGCCCUAUGGGUUGUAAACUGCUUUUAUAAGGGAAUAAAGUGAGAGUCGUGACUCUUUUUGCAUGUACCUUAUGAAUAAGGACCGGCUAAUUCCGUGCCAGCAGCCGCGGUAAUACGGAAGGUCCGGGCGUUAUCCGGAUUUAUUGGGUUUAAAGGGAGCGUAGGCCGGAGAUUAAGCGUGUUGUGAAAUGUAGACGCUCAACGUCUGCACUGCAGCGCGAACUGGUUUCCUUGAGUACGCACAAAGUGGGCGGAAUUCGUGGUGUAGCGGUGAAAUGCUUAGAUAUCACGAAGAACUCCGAUUGCGAAGGCAGCUCACUGGAGCGCAACUGACGCUGAAGCUCGAAAGUGCGGGUAUCGAACAGGAUUAGAUACCCUGGUAGUCCGCACGGUAAACGAUGGAUGCCCGCUGUUGGUCUGAACAGGUCAGCGGCCAAGCGAAAGCAUUAAGCAUCCCACCUGGGGAGUACGCCGGCAACGGUGAAACUCAAAGGAAUUGACGGGGGCCCGCACAAGCGGAGGAACAUGUGGUUUAAUUCGAUGAUACGCGAGGAACCUUACCCGGGCUUGAAUUGCAGAGGAAGGAUUUGGAGACAAUGACGCCCUUCGGGGCCUCUGUGAAGGUGCUGCAUGGUUGUCGUCAGCUCGUGCCGUGAGGUGUCGGCUUAAGUGCCAUAACGAGCGCAACCCCUCUCCUUAGUUGCCAUCAGGUUAAGCUGGGCACUCUGGGGACACUGCCACCGUAAGGUGUGAGGAAGGUGGGGAUGACGUCAAAUCAGCACGGCCCUUACGUCCGGGGCUACACACGUGUUACAAUGGCAGGUACAGAGAGACGGUCCCUUGCAAAAUGGAUCAAAUCCUUAAAGCCUGUCUCAGUUCGGACUGGGGUCUGCAACCCGACCCCACGAAGCUGGAUUCGCUAGUAAUCGCGCAUCAGCCAUGGCGCGGUGAAUACGUUCCCG